GACGAACGCUGGCGGCGUGCUUAACACAUGCAAGUCGAACGCUGAAGCUUGGUGCUUGCACUGGGUGGAUGAGUGGCGAACGGGUGAGUAAUACGUGAGUAACCUGCCCUUGACUCUGGGAUAAGCCUGGGAAACUGGGUCUAAUACUGGAUACGAUAUGUCACCGCAUGGUGGUGUGUGGAAAGGGGUUUAUUGGUUUUGGAUUGGCUCACGGCCUAUCAGCUUGUUGGGGGGGUAAUGGCACACCAAGGCGACGACGGGUAGCCGGCCUGGGAGGGUGGCCGGCCACGCUACGCCGGAGCUACGGCACAGCCUCGAAUGGGAGGCAAGGGUGGAGAAUAUUACACAGUAGGCGGGGCGCAGGUGCGACGCAGCCGCGUGGGGUAUGUGAGGCUGCGCGUUGUGAACCAAUUUCCGCUUAGACGGGGCGAUAGUGACGGUACCUGCAGAAGAAGCGCCGGCUAACUACGUG
This 472-nucleotide ribosomal RNA is filed under the name uncultured bacterium. Its description in RNAcentral is "partial 16S ribosomal RNA". It matches the Rfam family "Bacterial small subunit ribosomal RNA", at positions 28 to 507 of the family's 1533-position model. The record is from RNAcentral.